UACACACUGUGAUUUGGGGGCAU
This 23-nucleotide non-coding RNA is filed under the name Cricetulus griseus (Chinese hamster). The record is from RNAcentral. Lineage: Eukaryota; Metazoa; Chordata; Mammalia; Rodentia; Cricetidae.